This 1894-nucleotide ribosomal RNA is filed under the name human gut metagenome. RNAcentral's name for it is "bacterial LSU rRNA". It matches the Rfam family "Bacterial large subunit ribosomal RNA", at positions 3 to 1990 of the family's 2925-position model. The record is from RNAcentral.
UCAAGCGAACAAGGGCGCAGGGCGAAUGCCUUGGCACUGGGAGCCGAUGAAAGACGUGAUAAGCUGCGAUAAGCUUCGGGGAGCUGCAAAUAAGCAUUGAUCCGGAGAUUUCUGAAUGAGGAAACUCACCUGGGUUCAUACUCAGGUACGUUGUACUGAAAUUCAAAAUAGGUACAUCGGGGGAACCGCCUGAACUGAAACAUCUAAGUAGGGCGAGGAAGAGACAUCAAACGAGAUUCCGUAAGUAGUGGCGAGCGAACGCGGAAGAGGGCAAACCGAGAGUAGAAAUACUUUCGGGGUACGGAGCGCAUUUAGGACUUAAGUUGUUAACCGAACGGCAUGGGAAGGCCGGUCAGAGAGUGUGAGAACCACGUAGGUGAAAACGACAAGAGCCGAGCAAGUUCCAGAGUACGGCCAGACACGUGAAACCUGGUCGGAAGAUGGGGGGACCACCCUCCAACCCUAAAUACUACCCAGUGACCGAUAGCGUAUAGUACUGUGAAGGAAAGGUGAAAAGCACCCCGGGAGGGGAGUGAAAAAGAACCUGAAACCCUGUGCCUACAAGCACCUAGAGCACGUCAAUGUGUGAUAGGGUACUUUUUGUAGAACGGUCCGGCGAGCGAUUGUAUGCAGCAAGGUUAAGGACUUAAGGUCUGGAGCCGAAGCGAAAGCGAGUUUGAAAAGGGCGUUAAGUUGCAUAUAAUGGGCCCGAAACCGGGUGACCUACCCAUGGUCAGGUUGAAGUGGAAGUAAAAUUCCAUGGAGGACCGAACCGACCUCCGUUGAAAAGGCGGCGGAUGAACUGUGGGUAGCGGAGAAAUUCCAAUCGAACCCGGAGAUAGCUGGUUCUCCCCGAAAUAGUUUUAGGACUAGCCUCAAGUUAGAUACCUGGAGGUAAAGCACUGAAUAGCCUAGCGGCCGAGAGGUUAGCGAAGCUUAUCAAACUCAGAAUGCCAGAGUAUUGAUGCUUGGGAGUCAGACAGUGUCAGAUAAAUGUCAUUGUCAAAAGGGAAACAGCCCAGAUCUACAGCUAAGGUCCCAAAGUCAGGUUAAGUGGAAAACGAUGUGAAGAUACGCAGACAACCAGGAUGUUGGCUCAGAAGCAGCCACUCAUUCAAAGAGUGCGUAAUAGCUCACUGGUCGAGCGUCUUUGCGCGGAGAAUUUAACGGGGCUAAACCUGACACCGAAGCUUAGGCAAUACAGCAAUGUAUUGGGUAGGGGAGCGUUGUAUACGCGGUGAAACAGUAGCGCAAGCGGCUGUGGAGUGUAUAGAAGUGAGAAUGCCGGAAUGAGUAGCGCGAAUGCAGUGAGAAUCUGCAUGGCCGAAAGCCUCAGGUUUCUGGAGGAAGGUUCGUCCGCUCCAGGUUAGUCGGGAGCUAAGGUGAGGCCUAACGGCGUAGCCGAUGCACAGACGGUAGAGAUUCCGUCACCACCAAAAGAGUUAAACACAGGGACACAUAUGAAGUCUCGGAGCCGGGUGUUGGUUCCGGUAGCGAUCGAGGGAAGUUAGUACCGAAGUCCGGGAUGGAAGAUGGCGAGAAAAGCUGUGUGUAUUUCUGCGGUGCCCGUACCGCAAACCGACACAGGUAGGUAGGAAGAAGAUUCUAAGGCCAACGGGAGAAGGGUUGUUAAGGAACUCGGCAAAUUGACCCCGUAACUUCGGGAGAAGGGGUGCUCCAGAGAUGGAGCCGCAGAGAAUCGGCCCAAGCAACUGUUUACCAAAAACACAGGUUUGUGCUAAAUCGAAAGAUGACGUAUACGAGCUGACGCCUGCCCGGUGCUGGAAGGUUAAGAGGAGAUGUGCAAGCAUUGAAUCGAAGCCCCAGUGAACGGCGGCCGUAACUAUAACGGUCCUAAGGUAGCGAAAUUCCUUGUCAGGUAAGUUCUGACCCG